GGAUUAGAUACCCUGGUAGUCCACACCGUAAACGCUGUCUACUAGCUGUGUGUGAUUUUAAAUCGUGCGUAGCGCAGCUAACGCGAUAAGUAGACCGCCUGGGGAGUACGGCCGCAAGGUUAAAACUCAAAUGAAUUGACGGGGGCCCGCACAAGCGGUGGAGCAUGUGGUUUAAUUCGAUGAUACGCGAGGAACCUUACCUGGGCUACAAUGCCUUGGCCAGCCUGUGAAAGCAGGUUUUCCUUCGGGACCAAGUGCAAGGUGCUGCAUGGUUGUCGUCAGCUCGUGCCG
This 291-nucleotide ribosomal RNA is filed under the name uncultured bacterium. Its description in RNAcentral is "partial 16S ribosomal RNA". It matches the Rfam family "Bacterial small subunit ribosomal RNA", at positions 775 to 1067 of the family's 1533-position model. The record is from RNAcentral.